RNAcentral lists this ribosomal RNA (489 nucleotides) under uncultured bacterium. RNAcentral describes it as "bacterial SSU rRNA". It matches the Rfam family "Bacterial small subunit ribosomal RNA", at positions 28 to 507 of the family's 1533-position model. The record is from RNAcentral.
GAUGAACGCUAGCGACAGGCCUAACACAUGCAAGGUCGAGGGGCAGCACAUGAGUAGCAAUACGAUGGUGGCGACCGGCGCACGGGUGAGUAACACGUAUGCAACCGUGCCUGUAAGAGGGGAAUAACCCGGAGAAAUUCGGACUAAUACCGCAUAAUACCACGAGACUGCAUGGUUUUGUGGUUAAACAUUUAUGGCUUACAGAUGGGCAUGCGUAUGAUUAGAUAGUUGGUAGGGUAACGGCCUACCAAGUCUACGAUCAUUAGGGGUUCUGAGAGGAAGGUCCCCCACACUGGUACUGAGACACGGACCAGACUCCUACGGGAGGCAGCAGUGAGGAAUAUUGGUCAAUGGGCGAGAGCCUGAACCAGCCAAGUCGCGUGAAGGAAGAAGGUUCUAUGGAUUGUAAACUUCUUUUGCAGGGGAAUAAAGGACGGUACGUGUACUGUUUUGUAUGUACCUUGCGAAUAAGGAUCGGCUAACUCCGUG